UCCUUGGUAUUCUGUUUGAGUAUCCUGAAACGGGCUUUUCAUGAUCAGAAUACCAAUUAAUUUUAGAAAUAGGAGUGCAUAGUGGCCCGUAUUGCAGGCAUUAACAUUCCUGAU
Molecule: non-coding RNA, 114 nt
Organism: Rodentibacter rarus
Lineage: Bacteria; Pseudomonadati; Pseudomonadota; Gammaproteobacteria; Pasteurellales; Pasteurellaceae
Source: Rfam